UAGCAUAUCAAUAAGCGGAGGAAAAGAAACCAACAGGGAUUGCCUUAGUAACGGCGAGUGAAGCGGCAACAGCUCAAAUUUGAAAUCUGGCCCUUGGGUCCGAAUUGUAAUUUGUAGAGGAUGAUUUUGGUGCGGUAUCUUCCGAGUUCCUUGGAACAGGACGCCUUAGAGGGUGAGAGCCCCGUACGGUUGAAUGCCUAGCCUCUGUAAAUCUCCUUCGACGAGUCGAGUAGUUUGGGAAUGCUGCUCUAAAUGGGAGGUAAAUUUCUUCUAAAGCUAAAUAUUGGCCAGAGACCGAUAGCGCACAAGUAGAGUGAUCGAAAGAUGAAAAGCACUUUGAAAAGAGGGUUAAAUAGCACGUGAAAUUGUUGAAAGGGAAGGAUUUGUGACCAGACUUUUUCUGGGCGGAUCAUCCGGGGUUCUCUCCGGUGCACUUCGCCCAGUAAAGGCCAGCAUCGGUUUUCGGCGUGGGAUAAAAGCAGUAGGAAUGUGGCUCUCUACGGGGAGUGUUAUAGCCUAUUGUAUAAUACCGCGCUGGGGACCGAGGUUCGCGCUUCUGCAAGGAUGCUGGCGUAAUGGUUAUCAAUCACCCGUCUUGAAACACGGACCAAGGAGUCGAACAUUUGUGCAAGUGUUUGGGUGUUAAACCCUCACGCGUAAUGAAAGUGAACGGAGGUGAGAGCCCUUACGGGUGCAUCAUCGACCGAUCCUGAAGUUUUCGGAUGGAUUUGAGUAAGAGCAUAACUGUUCGGACCCGAAAGAUGGUGAACUAUGCGUGGAUAGGGUGAAGCCAGAGGAAACUCUGGUGGAGGCUCGCAGCGGUUCUGACGUGCAAAUCGAUCGUCAAAUCUGCGCAUGGGGGCGAAAGACUAAUCGAACCAUCUAGUAGCUGGUUACCGCCGAG
Molecule: ribosomal RNA, 904 nt
Filed under: Neopestalotiopsis formicidarum
Lineage: Eukaryota; Fungi; Ascomycota; Sordariomycetes; Amphisphaeriales; Sporocadaceae
Description: Neopestalotiopsis formicarum partial large subunit ribosomal RNA
Rfam family: Eukaryotic large subunit ribosomal RNA
Source: RNAcentral